Molecule: long non-coding RNA, 723 nt
Organism: Prionailurus viverrinus (fishing cat)
Lineage: Eukaryota; Metazoa; Chordata; Mammalia; Carnivora; Felidae
Exons: 3
Source: RefSeq, a predicted model, not a curated record
GUAAACCCAGAGAAGUUCCCUAGUCUCUCUGGGUCUCUAUCUCCUCAUCUGCAAACGGGGACAGUACCUACAUACACCCUACAGAUGAGAAACUGGGGUGUGGUUGGGCCAAAUGAGUCGACCAAAGUGACAGGUGGUCGAUGGCAGAAAUGUGCUCAGAAACUCCCGGAAACCCCAGGCUGGGCUCUUGUCAGUCUGACUGCCUGGCCCUACCCGAAGUCACCCAAAAGGUCUCAAGCGAGUUGACAGGAUCCAGAGAUAGCCACCUGAUGAAACCGCCGUCAGUGUGUGAUUAUCGAAGAUUCAAAAACUAAGGAGCGCAAAAUGGUUAUCAUCCUUUCCAGCGAUCAAGGAUCUGCUGGCCUCCUCCUUGCUUGUCCCCAACCAGAGCCAGCGACAGCAUCCGCCAUGCGUCACACGACCCCAUGAAGUACGCACCUGCCUUCAUGUCUAUACCUCAUUAACGUAACCGAUGAUGAGAAAGAAUGACAUGGUACCCAAAGCCCGUAUUAGCACAAGCCAACUCCCAAAACAUCCCUUUGUGAGCUGGGCAGCUUUGUUCACUACAUGAUUCCACGCUACAGGUGCGUUUCAUGAUUCUUUCUCCAGUGCUCAUGAUCCAUUUAAUUGAAAAUAAUUCUUCCCAGGUAGAACCUGCUAGAAAUUUUACACAAACCCAGGACACAGCAUGAAGUCAGAUUGGAUAAUCAAACUCAGACAUUA